This 253-nucleotide ribosomal RNA is filed under the name uncultured bacterium. RNAcentral describes it as "partial 16S ribosomal RNA". It matches the Rfam family "Bacterial small subunit ribosomal RNA", at positions 524 to 776 of the family's 1533-position model. The record is from RNAcentral.
UACGGAGGAUCCAAGCGUUAUCCGGAUUUAUUGGGUUUAAAGGGUGCGUAGGCGGAUAAAUAAGUCAGUGGUGAAAGCCUGCAGCUUAACUGUAGAAUUGCCAUUGAUACUGUUUAUCUUGAAUAUAGUUGAGGUGGGCGGAAUAUGACAUGUAGUGGUGAAAUACUUAGAUAUGUCAUAGAACACCGAUUGCGAAGGCAGCUCACUAAGCUAUGAUUGACGCUGAGGCACGAAAGCGUGGGGAGCAAACAGG